Homo sapiens (human) is the source of this 670-nucleotide long non-coding RNA. RefSeq lists it as uncharacterized. The transcript has 3 exons. The record is from RefSeq and is a predicted model, not a curated record. Lineage: Eukaryota; Metazoa; Chordata; Mammalia; Primates; Hominidae.
CUUACUUUAGCACAUCAUUCCCCAUCUUUUCUCAUUUUGGGGUCUUCUCUGUUUUUAAGAAAGAAAUCUAAAAUGUCACAUUUCUAGCUCCCUUUUUCCUUCCCAUAACUCAUUUUCUCAGUUUGGAAUACAUUGUCAGUUUUUUGCAGGAGUGAAUAUAGUUGCCGAAGAUAAAAGUUGUUUUGACAAUUUAGUAAUGGUUUUUGCACUAUAAGUGAUAUUAUUUUCUUUCUUUUCUUUUCUUUUUUUUUUUUUUUAGAUGGAGUCUUGCUCUGUCACCAGGCAAUCAUUAAUGAUAUUGGUUGUAAUUUUAGAGUUAUAAAAAAAAUAAGAAAAUGGGGAGAAAGAAAAGGGGGAAACAGGAAGAAGAUAAAGGAGAGAACAGAAAAAGAAGGAAAGAAGAAAGGCAGGAAAGCAGGAAGGAAGCAGCAAGGGAGGAAGAGAAGGAGGAAGACAGACAAUCACAAAGCAGACUUUUCAGCAUCUGGAUUCACAGCAAUAAGGAAUUACCAAUGGCAAUGCUAAGGAAAGAUGGCUGGCUAGAUUACUGCCAACAGGCUCUUCACUGAAAAAAAAAAGAAAGAAAAAGAAAAAAGAGAGAAACACUGAGCUGUUUGUUCACAGGUAAAAAUAUUUCUUCCCCUCUCAUUAAAGAUAAUUUUUCUGGUCA